This 1171-nucleotide ribosomal RNA is filed under the name Chryseomicrobium sp. RNAcentral's name for it is "bacterial SSU rRNA". It matches the Rfam family "Bacterial small subunit ribosomal RNA", at positions 34 to 1256 of the family's 1533-position model. The record is from RNAcentral. Lineage: Bacteria; Bacillati; Bacillota; Bacilli; Caryophanales; Caryophanaceae.
GGCAGUGCGGCGUGCUAUACAUGCAAGUCGAGCGGAUGACAGAGGAGCUUGCUCCUCUAGAUUCAGCGGCGGACGGGUGAGUAACACGUGGGCAACCUGCCCUGUAGAUUGGGAUAACUCCGGGAAACCGGGGCUAAUACCGAAUAAUCCUUCGGACCUCAUGGUCCGAUGUUGAAAGGCGGCUUCGGCUGUCACUACAGGAUGGGCCCGCGGCGCAUUAGCUAGUUGGUGAGGUAACGGCUCACCAAGGCCACGAUGCGUAGCCGACCUGAGAGGGUGAUCGGCCACACUGGGACUGAGACACGGCCCAGACUCCUACGGGAGGCAGCAGUAGGGAAUCUUCCACAAUGGACGAAAGUCUGAUGGAGCAACGCCGCGUGAGUGAAGAAGGUUCUCGGAUCGUAAAACUCUGUUGUGAGGGAAGAACAAGUACCGGAGUAACUGCCGGUACCUUGACGGUACCUCAUUAGAAAGCCACGGCUAACUACGUGCCAGCAGCCGCGGUAAUACGUAGGUGGCAAGCGUUGUCCGGAAUCAUUGGGCGUAAAGCGCGCGCAGGCGGUCCCUUAAGUCUGAUGUGAAAGCCCACGGCUCAACCGUGGAGGGUCAUUGGAAACUGGGGGACUUGAGUGCAGAAGAGGAAAGCGGAAUUCCAAGUGUAGCGGUGAAAUGCGUAGAGAUUUGGAGGAACACCAGUGGCGAAAGCGGCUUUCUGGUCUGUAACUGACGCUGAGCGCGAAAGCGUGGGGAGCAAACAGGAUUAGAUACCCUGGUAGUCCACGCCGUAACGAUGAGUGCUAAGUGUUAGGGGUUUCCGCCCCUUAGUGCUGCAGCUAACGCAUUAAGCACUCCGCCUGGGGGAGUACGGUCGCAAGACUGAAACUCAAGGAAUGACGGGGGCCCGCACAAGCGGUGGAGCAUGUGGUUUAUUCGAAGCAACGCGAAGAACUACAAGUCUGACAUCCCGCGACGCCUAGAACUGGCUCCCUCGGACGCGUGACGUGUGCAUGUGUCGUCAGCUCUGUCUGAGAUGUGGGUAAGUCCGCAACAACGCACUGAAUCUAGUUGCCACAUCAGUGCACUCUAGGUAACUGAGGACACGAGAGUGAUGACUAUCACAUGCUUAGACUUGUCACGGUCCAUGAUGUCAGUCGUAAGCGAGGACCAUCGC